Molecule: ribosomal RNA, 353 nt
Filed under: Bifidobacterium longum
Lineage: Bacteria; Bacillati; Actinomycetota; Actinomycetes; Bifidobacteriales; Bifidobacteriaceae
Description: bacterial SSU rRNA
Rfam family: Bacterial small subunit ribosomal RNA
Source: RNAcentral
GGGUGGUAAUGCCGGAUGCUCCAGUUGAUCGCAUGGUCUUCUGGGAAAGCUUUCGCGGUAUGGGAUGGGGUCGCGUCCUAUCAGCUUGACGGCGGGGUAACGGCCCACCGUGGCUUCGACGGGUAGCCGGCCUGAGAGGGCGACCGGCCACAUUGGGACUGAGAUACGGCCCAGACUCCUACGGGAGGCAGCAGUGGGGAAUAUUGCACAAUGGGCGCAAGCUGAUGCAGCGACGCCGCGUGAGGGAUGGAGGCCUUCGGGUUGUAAACCUCUUUUAUCGGGGAGCAAGCGAGAGUGAGUUUACCCGUUGAAUAAGCACCGGCUAACUACGUGCCAGCAGCCGCGGUAAUAAU